CUGCAAUCAAUUAAACCAGUUGGACUUCUCUCCUCAUGGGGCCCACUGGGCAAUAGCUGCAAACAGCAGCCUUCUUUGGUAGUGGAUGCAGACCUGUUGCUUAUAUAGAUUGCUAUAAUGGACCAUGGAGACAGUC
Molecule: small nucleolar RNA, 136 nt
Organism: Jaculus jaculus (lesser Egyptian jerboa)
Lineage: Eukaryota; Metazoa; Chordata; Mammalia; Rodentia; Dipodidae
Gene: SNORA70
Rfam family: Small nucleolar RNA SNORA70
About the family: snoRNA U70 seems to be exclusive to mammals and is a member of the H/ACA class of snoRNA which contain H (ANANNA) and ACA box motifs. H/ACA box snoRNAs are involved in the conversion of uridines to pseudouridines (5-ribosyluracil) a constituent of structural RNAs (transfer, ribosomal, small nuclear, and small nucleolar).
Source: Ensembl